GCCUUCGUAGUGUAACGGUAGCACACUCGCCCGUAUUCGAGAGGUCCAGGUUCGAAUCUUGACGAGAGCA
This 70-nucleotide transfer RNA is filed under the name Stegodyphus mimosarum. It matches the Rfam family "tRNA". Rfam says of the family: Transfer RNA (tRNA) molecules are approximately 80 nucleotides in length. Their secondary structure includes four short double-helical elements and three loops (D, anti-codon, and T loops). The record is from Rfam by way of RNAcentral. Lineage: Eukaryota; Metazoa; Arthropoda; Arachnida; Araneae; Eresidae.